This 769-nucleotide ribosomal RNA is filed under the name uncultured Pseudoalteromonadaceae bacterium. Its description in RNAcentral is "bacterial SSU rRNA". It matches the Rfam family "Bacterial small subunit ribosomal RNA", at positions 28 to 776 of the family's 1533-position model. Lineage: Bacteria; Pseudomonadati; Pseudomonadota; Gammaproteobacteria; Alteromonadales; Pseudoalteromonadaceae. The record is from RNAcentral.
AUUGAACGCUGGCGGCAGGCCUAACACAUGCAAGUCGAGCGGAAACGAGUUAUCUGAACCUUCGGGGAACGAUAACGGCGUCGAGCGGCGGACGGGUGAGUAAUGCCUAGGAAAUUGCCCUGAUGUGGGGGAUAACCAUUGGAAACGAUGGCUAAUACCGCAUGAUGCCUACGGGCCAAAGAGGGGGACCUUCGGGCCUCUCGCGUCAGGAUAUGCCUAGGUGGGAUUAGCUAGUUGGUGAGGUAAGGGCUCACCAAGGCGACGAUCCCUAGCUGGUCUGAGAGGAUGAUCAGCCACACUGGAACUGAGACACGGUCCAGACUCCUACGGGAGGCAGCAGUGGGGAAUAUUGCACAAUGGGCGCAAGCCUGAUGCAGCCAUGCCGCGUGUAUGAAGAAGGCCUUCGGGUUGUAAAGUACUUUCAGUCGUGAGGAAGGCGGCGUCGUUAAUAGCGGCGUUGUUUGACGUUAGCGACAGAAGAAGCACCGGCUAACUCCGUGCCAGCAGCCGCGGUAAUACGGAGGGUGCGAGCGUUAAUCGGAAUUACUGGGCGUAAAGCGCAUGCAGGUGGUUUGUUAAGUCAGAUGUGAAAGCCCGGGGCUCAACCUCGGAAUAGCAUCUGAAACUGGCAGACUAGAGUACUGUAGAGGGGGGUAGAAUUUCAGGUGUAGCGGUGAAAUGCGUAGAGAUCUGAAGGAAUACCGGUGGCGAAGGCGGCCCCCUGGACAGAUACUGACACUCAGAUGCGAAAGCGUGGGGAGCAAACAGG